This 480-nucleotide ribosomal RNA is filed under the name uncultured bacterium. RNAcentral's name for it is "bacterial SSU rRNA". It matches the Rfam family "Bacterial small subunit ribosomal RNA", at positions 28 to 526 of the family's 1533-position model. The record is from RNAcentral.
AAUGAACGUUGGCGGCGUGGAUUAGGCAUGCAAGUCGGACGGGCCGCAAGGCCAGUGGCGUAAGGGUGAGUAAGGCGACGGCAACCAUCCCCACGGUUGGGUAUAGCCGCGAGAAAUCGCGGGUAAUCCCCAGCGACGCGCGGCGUCGGCAUCGACGCCCCGCCAAAGGCUCGCCGCCGUGGGACGGGCCGUCGUGGUAUUAGGUCGUUGGCGGGGUAACGGCCCACCAAGCCUGCGAUGCCUACCGGGUGUGCGAGCAUGGCCCGGCACACAGGGACUGAGACACUGCCCAGACUCCUACGGGAGGCUGCAGUCGAGAAUCUUCGGCAAUGGGCGCAAGCCUGACCGAGCGACGCCGCGUGGAGGACGAAGGCCUUCGGGUUGUAAACUCCUGUCGAGGGGAAGGAAGGGGCCGCAAGGCCCUUGACCGCUCCCUGGAGGAAGCACGGGCUAAGUUCGUGCCAGCCGCCGCAGUAACAC